UGAAUAGUGUCGUAUACGUGAAUAGUGCCGUAUACGUGAAUAGUAACCCCGACACAACAAGUUCCAAAUUUGAUAAAAAAGUUCACCAAUACUUCGGCAUAAUGAUAUUGAAGAAAAAAUAUCAUUUAAGAAGAAAAUAAUACCCCUUACCUCAAAAUAACCGUACUUCUGACUGAAUUUCGGUAUAGUGCUGACAGAAACCCGCACCGUAUAGCAACACUCAAAGUAUACUCACAAGAAUACGCUCGAUAAUUUAGAGAGAGAAAGAGAGAAAACUUAGUUUCUGGUGUGAUUUUUAAUUCUAACUUAGCCCUCUAUUUAUAGGAAAAUGUCAGAAUGCCAAAGGAGACUAAAAUAAUAAAAUAAUAUUAUUAAUUUUCAAAUUUUCUACGCAUGCCUCCACCAACCAAGCCAGCCAAAUUAGAAGAAAAUAGCAGCCCAUGUGUUCAACACCUACCAAAAGUGGGUCCCACCCAUUAAUUUAAUAAAAAUCAUUUUAUUUUCUGAAACUUCAACAAUUCGUAGAAAAUAGCUCGGUUAUCAGAAAAAU
Molecule: long non-coding RNA, 550 nt
Filed under: Panax ginseng (ginseng)
Lineage: Eukaryota; Viridiplantae; Streptophyta; Magnoliopsida; Apiales; Araliaceae
Description: long non-coding RNA (PGIN_LNC002632)
Source: RNAcentral